AGCGAACGCUGGCGGCAGGCUUAACACAUGCAAGUCGAGCGGGCAUCCUUGUGGUGUCAGCGGCAGACGGGUGAGUAACGCGUGGGAACGUGCCCUUCGGUUCGGAAUAACUCAGGGAAACUUUAGCUAAUACCGGAUACGUGCGAGAGCAGAAAGGUUUAUCUGCCGAAGGAUCGGCCCGCGUCUGAUUAGCUAGUUGGCGAGGUUACGGCUCACCAAGGCGACGUUCAGUAGCUGGUCUGCGAGGAUGAUCAGCCACACUGGGACUGAGACCCGGCCCAGAAUCCUACGGGAGGCAGCAGUGGAGAAUAUUGGACAAGGGGGGCAACCCUGAUCCAGCCAUGCCGCGUGAGUGAUGACGGCCUUAGGGUUGUAAAGCUCUUUUCUCCGGGACGAUAAUGACGGUACCGGAGGAAUAAGCCCCGGCUAACUUCGUG
RNAcentral lists this ribosomal RNA (437 nucleotides) under uncultured bacterium. RNAcentral describes it as "partial 16S ribosomal RNA". It matches the Rfam family "Bacterial small subunit ribosomal RNA", at positions 29 to 507 of the family's 1533-position model. The record is from RNAcentral.